RNAcentral lists this ribosomal RNA (370 nucleotides) under uncultured bacterium. RNAcentral's name for it is "bacterial SSU rRNA". It matches the Rfam family "Bacterial small subunit ribosomal RNA", at positions 30 to 396 of the family's 1533-position model. The record is from RNAcentral.
AUUGAACGCUGGCGGCAUGCCUUACACAUGCAAGUCGAACGGCAGCACGGGAGCAAUCCUGGUGGCGAGUGGCGAACGGGUGAGUAAUAUAUCGGAACGUGCCCAGUCGUGGGGGAUAACGUAGCGAAAGCUACGCUAAUACCGCAUACGAUCUAUGGAUGAAAGCGGGGGAUCGCAAGACCUCGCGCGAUUGGAGCGGCCGAUAUCAGAUUAGGUAGUUGGUGAGGUAAAGGCUCACCAAGCCGACGAUCUGUAGCUGGUCUGAGAGGACGACCAGCCACACUGGGACUGAGACACGGCCCCAGACUCCCUACGGGGAGGGCAGCAGUGGGGAAUUUUGGACAAUGGGCGCAAGCCUGAUCCAGCAAUG